UGGGAAUUUGGACAAUGGGGCAACCUGAUCCAGCAAUGCCGCGUGUGUGAAGAAGGCCUUCGGGUUGUAAAGCACUUUUGUCCGGAAAGAAAACGUCGUGGUUAAUACCCGUGGCGGCUGACGGUACCGGAAGAAUAAGCACCGGCUAACUACGUGCCAGCAGCCGCGGUAAUACGUAGGGUGCAAGCGUUAAUCGGAAUUACUGGGCGUAAAGCGUGCGCAGGCGGUCCGCUAAGACAGAUGUGAAAUCCCCGGGCUUAACCUGGGAACUGCAUUUGUGACUGGCGGGCUAGAGUAUGGCAGAGGGGGGUAGGAAUUCCACGUGUAGCAGUGAAAUGCGUAGAGAUGUGGAGGAAUACCGAUGGCGAAGGCAGCCCCCUGGGCCAAUACUGACGC
Molecule: ribosomal RNA, 396 nt
Filed under: uncultured bacterium
Lineage: Bacteria
Description: partial 16S ribosomal RNA
Rfam family: Bacterial small subunit ribosomal RNA
Source: RNAcentral